This 380-nucleotide long non-coding RNA is filed under the name Glycine max (soybean). RNAcentral's name for it is "long non-coding RNA (GMAX_LNC004042)". Lineage: Eukaryota; Viridiplantae; Streptophyta; Magnoliopsida; Fabales; Fabaceae. The record is from RNAcentral.
CAAACAAAACAGGCAUCAUUAACCUAUUUCUUAUCACCAUACCUAAAAAAAUAGAAGAAAAAAAUAGAAACAAAGAAGUAAAAUUGAGGGCUUUUUUAAACUAGCAGAGAAUUUUCCUACUCUGCAAUGGAAACUGAAAUAAAAACAGUACAAAAGAGAUUGCAGAAAGGGAUUGCUAUAGCGUCAGCUCAUACACAGUACCCAUUAGAUUCAGAGCACCGGUAAUCAGUAUAUUGACGCGAGAAUCGCCACAAAUGAGGCAUACCCAAUACGCAAAAUCGAACCCUACAACAAAAACACUCUAAGAUUGAUACUUGGAGAGAAGAGUGGCGAAUGAAUAGAGAAACGAUGAAGGGGGUUUAUAAAGGGAUGAAUGAAAG